RNAcentral lists this ribosomal RNA (253 nucleotides) under uncultured bacterium. RNAcentral describes it as "partial 16S ribosomal RNA". It matches the Rfam family "Bacterial small subunit ribosomal RNA", at positions 524 to 776 of the family's 1533-position model. The record is from RNAcentral.
UACGGAGGGAGCUAGCGUUGUUCGGAAUUACUGGGCGUAAAGCGCGCGUAGGCGGCUUUGUAAGUUAGAGGUGAAAGCCCGGGGCUCAACUCCGGAACUGCCUUUAAAACUGCAUCGCUAGAAUCCGGGAGAGGUGAGUGGAAUUCCGAGUGUAGAGGUGAAAUUCGUAGAUAUUCGGAAGAACACCAGUGGCGAAGGCGACUUACUGGACACAUAUUGACGCUGAGGUGCGAAAGCGUGGGGAGCAAACAGG